This 445-nucleotide ribosomal RNA is filed under the name uncultured bacterium. RNAcentral describes it as "partial 16S ribosomal RNA". It matches the Rfam family "Bacterial small subunit ribosomal RNA", at positions 354 to 796 of the family's 1533-position model. The record is from RNAcentral.
GUGAGGAAUAUUGGUCAAUGGGCGAGAGCCUGAACCAGCCAAGUAGCGUGCAGGAUGACGGCCCUAUGGGUUGUAAACUGCUUUUACACGGGGAUAAAGUGUGCGACGUGUCGUUCAUUGCAGGUACCGUGCGAAUAAGGACCGGCUAAUUCCGUGCCAGCAGCCGCGGUAAUACGGAAGGUCCGGGCGUUAUCCGGAUUUAUUGGGUUUAAAGGGAGCGUAGGCCGUCUGUUAAGCGUGUUGUGAAAUGUAGAUGCUCAACAUCUGAAUUGCAGCGCGAACUGACCGACUUGAGUGCGCAGGAAGUAGGCGGAAUUCGUGGUGUAGCGGUGAAAUGCUUAGAUAUCAGGAGGAACACCGAUGGCGAAAGCAGUCUCCUGGCCAAAUACUGACGCUGAGGUACGAAAGCUAGGGUAGCAAACAGGAUUAGAAACCCCUGUAGUCC